CAGUCGCCGCGGUAAUACAGAGGGUGCAAGCGUUAAUCGGAAUUACUGGGCGUAAAGCGCGCGUAGGUGGUUUGUUAAGUUGGAUGUGAAAGCCCCGGGCUUAACCUGGGAACUGCAUCCAAAACUGGCAAGCUAGAGUACGGUAGAGGGUGGUGGAAUUUCCUGUGUAGCGGUGAAAUGCGUAGAUAUAGGAAGUAACACCAGUGGCGAAGGCGACCACCUGGACUGAUACUGACACUGAGGUGCGAAAGCGUGGGGAGCAAACAGGAUUAGAUACCCCUGUAGUCCCUGUCUCUUAUAC
Molecule: ribosomal RNA, 301 nt
Filed under: uncultured bacterium
Lineage: Bacteria
Description: partial 16S ribosomal RNA
Rfam family: Bacterial small subunit ribosomal RNA
Source: RNAcentral